AUUGAACGCUGGCGGCAGGCCUAAACACAUCCAAGUCGACCGGAUGAAGGUACUUUCCUCCUGUUUUCAGCGGCGGACGGUUUAUUAUUCCCUAGGAUUCUGCCUGGUUGUGGGGGUUACCUCCCGGAAACGGCCGCUAAUACCCCAUACGUCCUGUGGUAGAACGUGGGGGUUCUUCGGACCUCCCCCUUUCUGUUUAGCCUAGGUCGGAUGAGUUAGUUGGUGGGGUAAAGGCUUCCCAAGGCGAGGAUCCGUAACUGGUGUGAGAGGAUGAUCAGUCACACUGGAAGUGAGACACGGUCCAGACGCCUACGGGAGGCAGCAGUGGGGAAUAUUGGACAAUGGGCGAAAGCCUGAUCCAGCCAUGCCGCGUGUGUGAAGAAGGUCUUCGGAUUGUAAAGCACUUUAAGUUGGGAGGAAGGGCAGUAAGUUAAUACCUUGCUGUUUUGACGUUACCAACAGAAUAAGCACCGGCUAACUUCGUG
RNAcentral lists this ribosomal RNA (485 nucleotides) under uncultured bacterium. Its description in RNAcentral is "partial 16S ribosomal RNA". It matches the Rfam family "Bacterial small subunit ribosomal RNA", at positions 30 to 507 of the family's 1533-position model. The record is from RNAcentral.